This 425-nucleotide ribosomal RNA is filed under the name Pseudomonas sp. BR-Subra-58. RNAcentral describes it as "bacterial SSU rRNA". It matches the Rfam family "Bacterial small subunit ribosomal RNA", at positions 35 to 463 of the family's 1533-position model. Lineage: Bacteria; Pseudomonadati; Pseudomonadota; Gammaproteobacteria; Pseudomonadales; Pseudomonadaceae. The record is from RNAcentral.
GCUGGCGGCAGGCCUAACACAUGCAAGUCGAGCGGUAGAGAGAAGCUUGCUUCUCUUGAGAGCGGCGGACGGGUGAGUAAUGCCUAGGAAUCUGCCUGGUAGUGGGGGAUAACGUUCGGAAACGGACGCUAAUACCGCAUACGUCCUACGGGAGAAAGCAGGGGACCUUCGGGCCUUGCGCUAUCAGAUGAGCCUAGGUCGGAUUAGCUAGUUGGUGAGGUAAUGGCUCACCAAGGCGACGAUCCGUAACUGGUCUGAGAGGAUGAUCAGUCACACUGGAACUGAGACACGGUCCAGACUCCUACGGGAGGCAGCAGUGGGGAAUAUUGGACAAUGGGCGAAAGCCUGAUCCAGCCAUGCCGCGUGUGUGAAGAAGGUCUUCGGAUUGUAAACACUUUAAGUUGGGAGGAAGGGCCAUUCUAUUA